RNAcentral lists this ribosomal RNA (544 nucleotides) under uncultured bacterium. RNAcentral describes it as "bacterial SSU rRNA". It matches the Rfam family "Bacterial small subunit ribosomal RNA", at positions 338 to 888 of the family's 1533-position model. The record is from RNAcentral.
CCUACGGGAGGCAGCAGUGGGGAAUAUUGGACAAUGGGCGAAAGCCUGAUCCAGCAAUGCCGCGUGAGUGAUGAAGGCCUUAGGGUUGUAAAGCUCUUUUACCAGGGAUGAUAAUGACAGUACCUGGAGAAUAAGCUCCGGCUAACUCCGUGCCGGCAGCCGCGGUAAUACGGAGGGAGCUAGCGUUGUUCGGAAUUACUGGGCGUAAAGCGUACGUAGGCGGUUAUUCAAGUCAGAGGUGAAAGCCUGGAGCUCAACUCCAGAACUGCCUUUGAAACUAGAUAGCUAGAAUCUUGGAGAGGUGAGUGGAAUUCCGAGUGUAGAGGUGAAAUUCGUAGAUAUUCGGAAGAACACCAGUGGCGAAGGCGACUCACUGGACAAGUAUUGACGCUGAGGUACGAAAGCGUGGGGAGCAAACAGGAUUAGGAUACCCUGGUAGUCCACGCCGUAAACGAUGAUAACUAGCUGUUCGGGCUCUACGGAGUCGUGUAGUGCGCGNGCGUACGACUAUUAAGUUACGUCCGUCCGUCGGGAGGUACGGUCG